This 253-nucleotide ribosomal RNA is filed under the name uncultured bacterium. Its description in RNAcentral is "partial 16S ribosomal RNA". It matches the Rfam family "Bacterial small subunit ribosomal RNA", at positions 524 to 776 of the family's 1533-position model. The record is from RNAcentral.
UACAGAGGUCUCAAGCGUUGUUCGGAUUCAUUGGGCGUAAAGGGUGCGUAGGUGGCGCCGUAAGUCAGGUGUGAAAUUUCGGAGCUUAACUCCGAAACUGCAUUUGAUACUGCGGUGCUUGAGGACUGGAGAGAAGACUGGAAUUUACGGUGUAGCAGUGAAAUGCGUAGAGAUCGUAAGGAAGACCAGUGGCGAAGGCGGGUCUCUGGACAGUUCCUGACACUGAGGCACGAAGGCCAGGGGAGCAAACGGG